UUCAUCCUUUCACUUCUACACGGGGCGGCAGAAUUGAUAUAGACCCAUGUGUGUCUUUUUCCCCCCUUGCUUUUCCCCAUACACGUCUACAAUCCACAUUAUUAAAUAAAUAUCUUGAGAGUGAAUUCAAGUUUUCAUGGUCUCCUUCAUACGUAUCCUGACCGAUGCCCAUCACGAUAGUUUAACUCCUGCAACCCUCCUAUUAUAUACUGUGCUUGAAAGCUCAGUUAUUAGUGAUGCGUCCUCAGUGAUGCUGGAAGUGUUUGUUUUCCACAAAAUACCAAUUAACCCGGUCCUCAGCUCGCCUCCUCCAUGUUGGUCCAUGGGAUUAAACACUAGAUGACUUGGCACCGUUCCUGUUGUCAGAACCUACAGCAUGACAUUUCAAAUCAGCCCCAGUGAUAUUUAGUUGGUUUUGAUCCUCCUGACUGGAAUUUAAUAAAACGGAUUACAGCAAAGAAGCACAGAAA
Thunnus maccoyii (southern bluefin tuna) is the source of this 470-nucleotide long non-coding RNA. RefSeq lists it as uncharacterized. The record is from RefSeq and is a predicted model, not a curated record. The transcript is spliced from 3 exons. NCBI's taxonomy places the organism in Eukaryota, Metazoa, Chordata, Actinopteri, Scombriformes, Scombridae.